GAUGAACGCUGGCGGCGUGCCUAAUACAUGCCAGUCGAGCGAACGGACGAGAAGCUUGCUUCUCUGAUGUUAGCGGCGGACGGGUGAGUAACACGGGGAUCACCUACCUACAAGACUGGGAUAACUUCGGGAAACCGGAGCUAAUACCGGAUCAUAUGUUGAACCGCAUGGUUCAAAAGUGAAAGACGGUCUUGCGCUCACUUAUAUACGGAUCCGCGCUGCAUUAGCUAGUUGGUAAGGUAACGGCUUACCAAGGCAACGAUGCAUAGCCGACCUGAGAGGGUGAGCGGCCACACUGGAACUGAGACACGGUCCAGACUCCUACGCGAGGCAGCAGUCGGGAAUCUUCCGCAAUGGGCGAAAGCCUGACGGAGCAACGCCGCGUGAGUGAUGAAGGUCUUCGGAUCGUAAAACUCUGUUAUUAGGGAAGAACAUAUGUGUAAGUAACUGUGCAGAUCUUGACGGUACCUAAUCAGAAAGCCACGGCUAACUACGUG
This 497-nucleotide ribosomal RNA is filed under the name uncultured bacterium. RNAcentral's name for it is "partial 16S ribosomal RNA". It matches the Rfam family "Bacterial small subunit ribosomal RNA", at positions 28 to 507 of the family's 1533-position model. The record is from RNAcentral.